This 899-nucleotide long non-coding RNA is filed under the name Scleropages formosus (Asian bonytongue). RNAcentral describes it as "lncRNA (ENSSFOG00015025606.1)". Lineage: Eukaryota; Metazoa; Chordata; Actinopteri; Osteoglossiformes; Osteoglossidae. The record is from RNAcentral.
UGCCGGACUUUGACUUUCUGGAUUUGUUUCCCCUUCAAGGAAUCAUAACACGACUGGAUAUGAGCAGAACAAAACAGUGCGUGCUGCUGCUCUUGAGGAGCUUCCUCUUUUUGUUCCUUCUGCCCCUCCCCACCUGUGUUAGGAGACAAGCAGAUGAAGACACUCAAGCCUCACAUCUGUCUUCAAGCCAGACUUUGGUCUCAGCGUCUGAUCAGAAGGUGGAGCUUCUGGCGGUAGAGGUCAACAAUGAAGAAUUGUGAGCCAGUGCCUACUUCUCUCUACAAGUGAAAGGAAGACAGAAAAGAGCCACAUCUCAGAGUUCGGGACACAAGAUGAAGAGGACUGACGAAUACGUCAAGGUCUGCAAGCGCCCUGAUCGAUUGGUCCACAGCUCUUCACGCCUCACGCAGCCUCCAGGGAGCCAAGUUCUCCAUCAGAUCCUCUACAGCAGCCACAGACGAACCACUGAGUCAAAUCAAGGCCACACUGAUCUUCAUCACUGUAAAGAACAACAAAGGAACCACAAUGAGCUUCCACUCAUAAUGGAACGCAAUCUGCACAGCAAACGGUGCGAACCGAGGCUCCAGCGCUUUCAUGGCAGAAUUGAGCAGGAGUACCACACCGUUGACGACCGAGAGGAGACGCUAUCCGUACUCAUCCGUCCGGCCCUACCCAUUCCCUCCAACAGAGACUACGUUGACCGAUGUAUGUCUUCUAAGGACUCAUCUCCAGCAAUGAAUAAAAGUCCCGAUACUCCACCCAGAGUGCCGAGAAGGAAUGUUCCAGGACCUGCUGUCCACAGAGAACUGAAGCCCAGCCGGCAGCAGAGAGCUCAGCAGGCCUAUGACAAAAAGAGGGCAGAUCAAGAUGCAGAGAGCCUGUUCACUUCCCAGAGGUAA